This 345-nucleotide unclassified non-coding RNA is filed under the name soil metagenome. RNAcentral's name for it is "partial contains 5.8S ribosomal RNA, internal transcribed spacer 2, and large subunit ribosomal RNA". The stretch from base 1 to 120 matches the Rfam family "5.8S ribosomal RNA", at positions 35 to 154 of the family's 154-position model. The record is from RNAcentral.
GAUGAAGAACGUAGCGAAAUGCGAUACGUAAUGUGAAUUGCAGAAUUCAGUGAAUCAUCGAGUCUUUGAACGCACAUUGCGCCCCCUGGUAUUCCGGGGGGCAUGCCUGUCCGAGCGUCAUUGCUGCCCUCAAGCACGGCUUGUGUGUUGGGCCUCCGUCCUCCUCCCGGGGGACGGGCCCGAAAGGCAGCGGCGGCACCGCGUCCGGUCCUCGAGCGUAUGGGGCUUCGUCACCCGCUCUUGUAGGCCCGGCCGGCGCUUGCCGACACAUCAAUCUUUUUUCCAGGUUGACCUCGGAUCAGGUAGGGAUACCCGCUGAACUUAAGCAUUUCAAUAAGCGGAGGA